UACGAAGGGGGCUAGCGUUGUUCGGAAUCACUGGGCGUAAAGCGUAUGUAGGCGGAUCAAAAAGUUAGAUGUGAAAUCCCUGGGCUCAACCCAGGAACUGCAUUUAAAACUAGUGAUCUAGAAUUUGGUAGGGGCCAGUAGAAUUUCCAGUGUAGAGGUGAAAUUCGUAGAUAUUGGAAAGAAUACCAGUGGCGAAGGCGACUGGCUGGGCCAAUUUUGACGCUGAGGUGCGAAAGCGUGGGGAGCAAACAGG
This 253-nucleotide ribosomal RNA is filed under the name uncultured bacterium. Its description in RNAcentral is "partial 16S ribosomal RNA". It matches the Rfam family "Bacterial small subunit ribosomal RNA", at positions 524 to 776 of the family's 1533-position model. The record is from RNAcentral.